This 229-nucleotide unclassified non-coding RNA is filed under the name plant metagenome. Its description in RNAcentral is "partial contains small subunit ribosomal RNA, internal transcribed spacer 1, and 5.8S ribosomal RNA". The record is from RNAcentral.
UCUCCGUAGGUGAACCUGCGGAGGGAUCAUUACAGAGUUUUUGCCCGCAAGGGUAGAUCUCCCACCCUAUGUUAUUCCUUCCCUGUUGCUUUGGCGGGCCGUCCGGCCUCGGUCAGGCCACCGGCUCCGGCUGGUGCGCGCCCGCCAGAGGACCCCAAACCCUAAAUGUCAGUGUCGUCUGAGUACUAUAUAAUAGUUAAAACUUUCAACAACGGAUCUCUUGGUUCUG